UGGGGAAUUUUGGACAAUGGGCGAAAGCCUGAUCCAGCCAUGCCGCGUGAGAGAAGAAGGCCUUCGGGUUGUAAAGCUCUUUUAGUCGGAAAGAAAGAGUUGCAAUGAAUAAUUGUGAUUUAUGACGGUACCGACAGAAAAAGCACCGGCUAACUACGUGCCAGCAGCCGCGGUAAUACGUAGGGUGCGAGCGUUAAUCGGAAUUACUGGGCGUAAAGGGUGCGCAGGCGGUCUUGCAAGUCAGAUGUGAAAGCCCCGGGCUUAACCUGGGAAUUGCGUUUGAAACUACAAGACUAGAGUGCAGCAGAGGGGAGUGGAAUUCCAUGUGUAGCAGUGAAAUGCGUAGAGAUGUGGAAGAACACCGAUGGCGAAGGCAGCUCCCUGGGUUGACACUGACGCUCAUGCACGAAAGCGUGGGGAGCAAACA
This 427-nucleotide ribosomal RNA is filed under the name uncultured beta proteobacterium. RNAcentral's name for it is "bacterial SSU rRNA". It matches the Rfam family "Bacterial small subunit ribosomal RNA", at positions 355 to 774 of the family's 1533-position model. The record is from RNAcentral. Lineage: Bacteria; Pseudomonadati; Pseudomonadota; Betaproteobacteria.